Molecule: long non-coding RNA, 463 nt
Filed under: Vulpes vulpes (red fox)
Lineage: Eukaryota; Metazoa; Chordata; Mammalia; Carnivora; Canidae
Description: lncRNA (ENSVVUG00000020017.1)
Source: RNAcentral
UAUUAAGGUUGUAGGAGUCUGUUUAGAGUAUUCUUCUGUAGAAUAGAGCAGUAUCUCCUUUUGCCUUUGACAACAGAGCUAUAAGAUGGUUCUUAGUGACAGAAAAAGUAUAUAAACUACAAGAGAUUACCCUUUCCUGGUCUGGAAAUUUUGUUAGAGAUUGCCGAGAAAACAAGAAGGAUUUCUUCUCUCCAAGUCCGGAGGGUGUGAGAUGAGUCAGAGAGUACCCAUAGGUUUGGGAGUGGAGAGAUGCGAGGACACAUUUUGUUGAAUCGAAUGGACCCAGUUGGACAGCAUCAACUCCAUGCACCCUACGCUUGAGUACAGAGCCCGCAAGCAAACAUUCUGAUUCCAAGUGUCUAUGGAACUUGGAGAGGAAAGAGACUGUAUUUCCUUGUUCACUGGAAUUAAUGUAUCAGUAGUGAUAAUGGCCUGAGGUAUGAUACUCUUGGUGAGUAUCUUU